AACGAACGCUGGCGGCAUGCCUAACACAUGCAAGUCGAACGAAGCCUUCGGGCUCAGUGGCGCACGGGUGCGUAACGCGUGGGAAUCUGCCCUUUGGUUCGGAAUAACAGUUGGAAACGACUGCUAAUACCGGAUGAUGACGAAAGUCCAAAGAUUUAUCGCCAGAGGAUAAGCCCGCGUAGGAUUAGCUAGUUGGUGUGGUAAAGGCGCACCAAGGCGACGAUCCUUAGCUGGUCUGAGAGGAUGAUCAGCCACACUGGGACUGAGACACGGCCCAGACUCCUACGGGAGGCAGCAGUGGGGAAUAUUGGACAAUGGGCGAAAGCCUGAUCCAGCAAUGCCGCGUGAGUGAUGAAGGCCCUAGGGUUGUAAAGCUCUUUUACCCGGGAUGAUAAUGACAGUACCGGGAGGAUAAGCCCCGGCUAACUCCGUGCCAGCCGCCGCCGUAA
This 449-nucleotide ribosomal RNA is filed under the name uncultured bacterium. RNAcentral describes it as "partial 16S ribosomal RNA". It matches the Rfam family "Bacterial small subunit ribosomal RNA", at positions 29 to 523 of the family's 1533-position model. The record is from RNAcentral.